Non-coding RNA from Miniopterus natalensis, 1493 nucleotides. NCBI's taxonomy places the organism in Eukaryota, Metazoa, Chordata, Mammalia, Chiroptera, Miniopteridae. The record is from RefSeq and is a predicted model, not a curated record.
CCGCCCCUCCUCACCUCGGUAUUGGAGACGUCAGGAUGGCGGCGGGGAGCUCUUCGGGCCUCGCGCACUGCGCCAGCGCGCAGUACAGAGCCAAAAGUCAACUCAUCAACUUUGGAGCAUAAGUAAAUUCCUAAUAGAGACUUUUUUUCCUUAAACAUAUUCAUGUUUCUGAAUUUUUAAUAGUUCUGUUAUACUUUGUCUUUUGUCUGGAUCUACCAACAUGUAUACUUAGAUUUAUCAGAACAAAUACAUCAAAUUUAAAAGCAUUUUCAAAUAUUUUUUAAAAUUUUUUCACAAGUGUAAUUGGUGUUCUUUUGUGUGGUAAUAGAGGUAGGGGGACGAAGACCAUUGAUCUGGAUAAAUAAGUUAGUAGCCCUGGCAAAAUAAGGAAAACAUGUAGAAAGGGCAAUUGUAAACCUGUAUUCAUUCUCUUUAUCUUAUAUUAGUAAAUCGAAAGUUUCUGAAACUUCAAAUCAAGGAUUGCAGCUGGCCCUGUAAGGGCCAGACCUGUACAUAAAUGAAUCAAGUCUAAGAUGGUAGAGAGUGUAUGGCAGUGGGGGGAGACCAAGACAGAGCUUGCACCCCACCACACACACCCCACCUGUUGCUGACACGGGUCAGAACCCAGUGUGGAGAGUCUUCCCAUUUCCGCAGAGAAUGCACAUCCCUCUUUCUAUGUGCAAGUCUCCAAGUUUUAAGUACCAGCACCCAAUUCAGACUAUGGUCAAAUGACACCUGCCUCCACUUAUGAUCUUCGCUUUAUGUUUUAAAAAGUUUAUUCAUGAAAGGAAACUGCAGAAGAUAUUAUAGAUACCUUUGAUAAUUAAAAGGUAUAGUACAUAUCCCAUCUUCAUUUUGACUGGUUUUAGUCGAUUAAGAUGGUUCUGGGGUUUUAUUGUGUUAAUACCAGUUUUUGUUUUCAUCACUGAGACAGCUUAAUCAUCAAAGCCAAGUAAUGCUGCCUAAUUCAGAACAAAAUUAGGAAACUGACAAAUCACAGAGAGUUCUUGUUUGUUUGUUUUGCAUGUCUUUUUCUAUGUCUAUAAUGCCUUAAAUUUGAAGUGUGCUAUUUAUUCACAGAGUGUUUAGAAUCUUGGUAGGAAAAGGUUUUGGUAUUGCCCAAUGUCUAAUUGGUUGGUAAUUGUUUUCUUUUUCUGUCUCUUAUACCAGGGUAUCUGGCAGAUACCUUGGUAUAAGGUAUAGGUUCUCUGCCUAUCCUUUUUAUUAGACUUAUGUUAUAUGUUAAUUUUAAGGUCACCGUGUUUCUUUUAGCUGUAAACUUCAUUUGUAAAUUGUUGGGGGAACUGGACUUUUUUUUUUUUGGUAGAUAUUUUGCUUUGGCAGGUUUUUUUCCCCUAAAGGUAAGUUGCAUUUGUUGUACAUCAUUGUCCAUUUGCCUUUUAAAAUUAAUGUAUCCCCCCCAAAUUAAUUAAAUUAAUAUAUUCCAAGAUCCUCAUUUGACACUGUUGAUUAAAAAUUGAGAAUUGCUUCAA